CGUUCCUCGGGGAAUCUUUUAACUGGAACACCCUGGAGCGGACACAGAACAGCAACCACAGGUGGAGCAGCGCCCUCACGCCGGCAACCCCCAGACAACCACACCUCAACCACGCACUAUGAUACAAAGACCGCUUUUUCUCAAAUGUGCACACUGCCUCAGAAGCUAAAGAGAUGGUGAUGCAGGCGCUGCAGAAGGUGACCAGAGGAGAGGCCAUCAAGCAGGAGGAUCUGGGGGAAGCCACCUGCCAGAAAGCUACGCAAGGCAGAGAAACCUCUCACUUUAGAGAAAAAUACUUAGUCCUCACUGACAGAACUGAAGUGUGACGUUAUUUGUAUUUCAAGUGUUCUGCUUUUUCAAUGUGUUGCCAAAAAAACUCUGAACAUGUUACAGGCUGCAGGAAAGCAAAAGUGCAAUGUUUGUUUUCAGAAAUAUAACGUUGACUGUUAAAAUGUCAGCAACAGAUGCAGUUGCAUCAUGGUGUUUGUUUCAUUUGUUACAAUGGGUACGGUUACAUGAUGUUUUUUAAUUCAGAAUUAAUAAUUCAGAAUUAAAUAAUUCGGAAUUAAA
Long non-coding RNA from Notolabrus celidotus (New Zealand spotty), 570 nucleotides. RefSeq lists it as uncharacterized. The transcript is spliced from 3 exons. The record is from RefSeq and is a predicted model, not a curated record. Lineage: Eukaryota; Metazoa; Chordata; Actinopteri; Labriformes; Labridae.